Molecule: ribosomal RNA, 555 nt
Filed under: uncultured bacterium
Lineage: Bacteria
Description: partial 16S ribosomal RNA
Rfam family: Bacterial small subunit ribosomal RNA
Source: RNAcentral
UGGGGAAUCUUCCGCAAUGGGCGAAAGCCUGACGGAGCAACGCCGCGUGAGUGAAGACGGCCUUCGGGUUGUAAAGCUCUGUUAUAUGGGACGAACGGGUGUAUGGUCAAUACCCAUACGCCGUGACGGUACCGUAAGAGAAAGCCACGGCUAACUACGUGCCAGCAGCCGCGGUAAUACGUAGGUGGCAAGCGUUGUCCGGAAUCAUUGGGCGUAAAGGGCGCGCAGGCGGUUCGGUAAGUCGGUCUUAAAAGUGCGGGGCUUAACCCCGUGAUGGGAUUGAAACUGCCGGACUGGAGUGUCGGAGAGGAAAGCAGAAUUCCUAGUGUAGCGGUGAAAUGCGUAGAUAUUAGGAGGAAUACCAGUGGCGAAAGCGGCUUUCUGGACGACAACUGACGCUGAGGCGCGAAAGCCAGGGGAGCAAACGGGAUUAGAUACCCCGGUAGUCCUGGCCGUAAACGAUGGAUACUAGGUGUAGGGAGGUAUCGACCCCUUCUGUGCCGGAGUUAACGCAAUAAGUAUCCCGCCUGGGGAGUACGGCCGCAAGGUUGAAAC